UACAGAGGUCCUAAGCGUUGUUCGGAUUCACUGGGCGUAAAGGGUGCGCAGGUGGUCGGGUAAGUCUGAUGUGAAAUCCCGCAGCUUAACUGCGGAAUGGCAUUGGAUACUAUUCGGCUAGAGGGUUGGAGGGGGGACUGGAAUUCUCGGUGUAGCAGUGAAAUGCGUAGAUAUCGAGAGGAACACCAGUGGCGAAGGCGAGUCCCUGGACAACUCCUGACGCUGAGGCACGAAAGCUAGGGGAGCAAACAGG
RNAcentral lists this ribosomal RNA (253 nucleotides) under uncultured bacterium. Its description in RNAcentral is "partial 16S ribosomal RNA". It matches the Rfam family "Bacterial small subunit ribosomal RNA", at positions 524 to 776 of the family's 1533-position model. The record is from RNAcentral.